This 1164-nucleotide ribosomal RNA is filed under the name uncultured bacterium. RNAcentral's name for it is "bacterial SSU rRNA". It matches the Rfam family "Bacterial small subunit ribosomal RNA", at positions 8 to 1178 of the family's 1533-position model. The record is from RNAcentral.
AGGGUUUGAUCCUGGCUCAGAUUGAACGCUGGCGGCAGGCCUAACACAUGCAAGUCGAGCGGAAACGAUGGUAGCUUGCUACCAGGCGUCGAGCGGCGGACGGGUGAGUAACGCGUGAGAAUCUGCCCAUUUGUGGGGGAUAACUCGGGGAAACUCGAGCUAAUACCGCAUAAUCCCUACGGGGGAAAGCAGGGGACCUUCGGGCCUUGUGCAGAUGGAUGAGCUCGCGUCGGAUUAGCUUGUUGAUGAGGUAAAGGCUCACCAAGGCGACGAUCCGUAGCUGGUCUGAGAGGAUGAUCAGCCACACCGGGACUGAGACACGGCCCGGACUCCUACGGGAGGCAGCAGUGGGGAAUCUUGGACAAUGGGGGCAACCCUGAUCCAGCCAUGCCGCGUGUGUGAAGAAGGCCUUCGGGUUGUAAAGCACUUUCAGUAGGGAGGAAGGCUUACCGCUAAUAACGGUGAGUACUUGACGUUACCUACAGAAGAAGCACCGGCUAAUUUCGUGCCAGCAGCCGCGGUAAUACGAAAGGUGCGAGCGUUAAUCGGAAUUACUGGGCGUAAAGCGCGCGUAGGCGGUUUGUUAAGUCAGAUGUGAAAGCCCCGGGCUCAACCUGGGAAUUGCAUUUGAAACUGGCAGGCUAGAGUGCAGUAGAGGGAGGUGGAAUUUCCGGUGUAGCGGUGAAAUGCGUAGAGAUCGGAAGGAACACCAGUGGCGAAGGCGGCCUCCUGGACUGACACUGACGCUGAGGUGCGAAAGCGUGGGGAGCAAACAGGAUUAGAUACCCUGGUAGUCCACGCCGUAAACGAUGUCUACUAGUCGUUGGGAAUCUUAGUAUUCUUGGUGACGAAGUUAACGCGAUAAGUAGACCGCCUGGGGAGUACGGCCGCAAGGUUAAACUCAAUGAAUUGACGGGGGCCGCACAAGCGGUGGAGCAUGUGGCUUAAUUCGAUGCAACGCGAAAACCUUACCAGCCUUGACAUCCUUGGAACUUCUAAAGAUAGAUUGGUGCUUCUGGGAGCCAAUGAAAGUGCUGCAUGCUGUCGUUCACCUCUGUCUUGAUAUUAGUAAGAUACCGUACGAGCCACCUUGUUCCGAUGCAGACUCGUGAACUAGGAAUGCGUCAAUCAGCAGUGGACCUAACUCAUGCCUUACGCCUGGGU